GAAGACUAAUACCCAAUGAUAUCUCUAGAAGGCAUCUGAAAGAGAUUAAAGAUUUAUCGGUGAUGGAUGGGGAUGCGUCUGAUUAGCUUGUUGGCGGGGUAACGGCCCACCAAGGCAACGAUCAGUAGGGGUUCUGAGAGGAAGGUCCCCCACAUUGGAACUGAGACACGGUCCAAACUCCUACGGGAGGCAGCAGUGAGGAAUAUUGGUCAAUGGACGAGAGUCUGAACCAGCCAAGUAGCGUGCAGGAAGACGGCCCUAUGGGUUGUAAACUGCUUUUAUAAGGGAAUAAAGUUAGUCUCGUGAGACUUUUUGCAUGUACCUUAUGAAUAAGGACCGGCUAAUUCCGUG
Molecule: ribosomal RNA, 351 nt
Filed under: Segatella copri
Lineage: Bacteria; Pseudomonadati; Bacteroidota; Bacteroidia; Bacteroidales; Prevotellaceae
Description: bacterial SSU rRNA
Rfam family: Bacterial small subunit ribosomal RNA
Source: RNAcentral